This 167-nucleotide ribosomal RNA is filed under the name Luciogobius yubai. RNAcentral's name for it is "partial 12S rRNA". Lineage: Eukaryota; Metazoa; Chordata; Actinopteri; Gobiiformes; Gobiidae. The record is from RNAcentral.
CACCGCGGUUAUACGAGAGGCUCAAGUUGAUAAAUACCGGCGUAAAAUGUGGUUAACAUAACACCAUACUAAAGCUAAACAUCUUCAAAGCUGUUAUACUCACACGAAGACAGGAAAACCUUCAACGAAAGUGGCUUUAAAUAAUGCUAUCCACGAAAACUAGGAAA